GAAGCAGCUGAAGCCCAGGUCCCAGAGGGAUAGACCUUGCCCUUAGUUUCAGCACGGCAACGUACAUGAGUGUCCACUUCGGCCUGCACCUCAGCCAGGGAAACGUCUUCAUUGUUGGCCAUGCCUCUAGUGGCAGCCAGCCCAACAAUGCCAGGCUCUCCCCAACAGCAGGCCUUCACUGGCAAGACUCUCUGAACCAAGAUGGACCAUUGCUUUGUGGGGAGCCUGCAUCCUGUUGAGCUAAGUCACACAAACGCAAACUGUGGUGCCCAAGGAGAAGAAAAGGUGCUGAACUGUGCCUCAGAACAGGGGCAUGGUGACCCUGCCUGUAGGAGAGGAGUCUGCCAGGAUGAGGACGGGAGGGGUCUUACUCUCCUGCAAGAGACCACCCCUGGGGAUGAAGGACACCAGCCCUCCGGUGGCAUCAGUGCCAGAGGGGUCAGAGCACAGGGCUUCCACUGUUGCCUCUGCCAUCGCCUGCCUCCAGGUAAGUUCUUGCAGUUUUCUGAGCCUCCGUUUGCUGACCUGUAAAAUGAGGCUACUGAGCUGCUCUUAGGAUUUCGGGAUGAAGGCGCCAUCGCAGAACUGCAUUCCCUCUCCCUCCAGCUCCAAAAACUGAAUUCCGCCAAGGCAUAGAGCAGCUCUUAAGCCCAAGUUCACUGGGAUCACUACUGAAAGUGACAGGAGGCAGCCAAGUGUCUAGGCAGAUAGGGACAGGUCCCAGUGAAACCCCACCUUCAAGCCAAAAAUAGCCCGAAAGCUGAAAGAUCAGACUGCUGGUCCUGGAGGAAACCCACCACCCAGAGUGAGAACUUCUGUUCCUGUUUGCCCACCCUUUCCUGGUUGAUUCUUUCUGAACAAUGCCUUUUAACCAGUCGAAUGUUGCCCUUUCCGAUACUAUCUAUGGCCUGCCCCUCCCCUAUUCUGAGCCUAUAAAAUGUCCUGGACCCAGCUACACGAGGAGGAGAGAACCACCCCCCGCAUCCUCCCUCCACUGAAAGCUGUUCAGUCGCUCAAUAAAAUUCUUCUCCUCCCUCCUC
Molecule: long non-coding RNA, 1040 nt
Organism: Pan troglodytes (chimpanzee)
Lineage: Eukaryota; Metazoa; Chordata; Mammalia; Primates; Hominidae
Exons: 3
Source: RefSeq, a predicted model, not a curated record